GCAGAAGGGCUUUGACGUUUUCAAUGCACUGGAUCUCAUGGAGAACAAGACUUUCUUGGAGAAACUGAAAUUCGGGAUUGGAGAUGGAAACUUACAGUAUUACCUUUACAAUUGGAAAUGCCCCAGCAUGGGGCCAGAGAAGGUGGGCUUGGUGCUGCAGUAAUCAGCAGUCCCUGGAGAAAUGCGGGCAGAGCUACUGAAGAGCUAGGCCGGAGCGGAAGGAUCGGUCCUCGUGGAUCCUCUUCCCUCGGGGGUGAGAACCUUCCGUAGUGGAGACCACACCCACCGACCACCUGGCCACGCAAAGCAUCCACUGACACUUCUGGUGAUCGUCUCGUGUGCCUCGGAGUGCAGCAGCGCGUCAGCCUCAGCAGUUGGCCUCUCUUCCCCUCCCCCCCCCAACACUCCCCCUCCCCAAUUAAUCACUUUUCAUACAAGUACGAUCAAGGGAAUGUAACUGCUGGAAAUUGGCUCACGAUUGACAUAUAUUGGAGUUAACGGGUGAAUAAUAAUAAAAUAUAUAUAUAUUCUAUAUUA
Long non-coding RNA from Heteronotia binoei (common prickly gecko), 537 nucleotides. RefSeq lists it as uncharacterized. The record is from RefSeq and is a predicted model, not a curated record. The transcript is spliced from 2 exons. NCBI's taxonomy places the organism in Eukaryota, Metazoa, Chordata, Lepidosauria, Squamata, Gekkonidae.